This 499-nucleotide ribosomal RNA is filed under the name uncultured bacterium. RNAcentral's name for it is "partial 16S ribosomal RNA". It matches the Rfam family "Bacterial small subunit ribosomal RNA", at positions 29 to 523 of the family's 1533-position model. The record is from RNAcentral.
AACGAACGUUAGCGGCGCGCCUAAUACAUGCAAGUCGAGCGAGAAAGGGAUUCGUCCCCAGUAAAGCGGCGCACGGGUGAGUAACACGUAGGUCAUCUACCCUCGGGUGGUGGAUAACAUUCCGAAAGGAGUGCUAAUACAGCAUAACACCGCAAGGACAAAGCGGGCCUCUCUAUAGAAGCUCGCGCCUGAGGAUGAGCCUGCGGCCCAUCAGCUAGUUGGCAGUGUAAAAGACUACCAAGGCUAAGACGGGUAGCUGGUCUGAGAGGGUGAACAGCCACACUGGAACUGAGACACGGUCCAGACUCCUACGGGAGGCAGCAGUAGGGAAUCUUGCGCAAUGGGCGAAAGCCUGACGCAGCGACGCCGCGUGAGUGAUGAAGGCCUUCGGGUUGUAAAGCUCUGUGGGGAGAGAAGAAUAAGUGCAAGCUAAUACUUUGCAUGACGACGGUAUCUCCUUAGCAAGCACCGGCUAACUCUGUGCCAGCCGCCGCCGUAA